AUGAACGCUAGCGACAGGCUUAACACAUGCAAGUCGAGGGGCAGCGGGGGAUAGCAAUAUUCUGCCGGCGACCGGCGCACGGGUGCGUAACACGUAUGCAACCUGCCUACAAGAGGGGGAUAGCCCGGCGAAAGUCGGAUUAAUACCGCAUAAAACAGGGGCUCCGCAUGGAGCUAUUUGUUAAAGGAGCAAUCCGCUUGUAGAUGGGCAUGCGUUCCAUUAGAUAGUUGGUAGGGUAACGGCCUACCAAGUCUGCGAUGGAUAGGGGUUCUGAGAGGAAGGUCCCCCACACUGGUACUGAGACACGGACCAGACUCCUACGGGAGGCAGCAGUGAGGAAUAUUGGUCAAUGGGCGCGAGCCUGAACCAGCCAAGUCGCGUGAAGGAUGACUGCCCUACGGGUUGUAAACUUCUUUUAGUGGGGAAUAAAAAAAGGGACGUGUCCCUUAUUGCAUGUACCCACGGAAUAAGCAUCGGCUAACUCCGUGCCAGCAGCCGCGGUAAUACGGAGGAUGCGAGCGUUAUCCGGAUUUAUUGGGUUUAAAGGGUGCGUAGGUGGCUUUUUAAGUCAGUGGUGAAAGUUUGUCGCUCAACGAUAAAAUUGCCAUUGAAACUGGGAAGCUUGAGUAUGUUUGAGGUAGGCGGAAUUCGUGGUGUAGCGGUGAAAUGCUUAGAUAUCACGAGGACUCCGAUUGCGAGGCAGCUUACCAAACCAUACUGACACUGAGC
RNAcentral lists this ribosomal RNA (729 nucleotides) under uncultured bacterium. Its description in RNAcentral is "bacterial SSU rRNA". It matches the Rfam family "Bacterial small subunit ribosomal RNA", at positions 29 to 752 of the family's 1533-position model. The record is from RNAcentral.